UGCUUCAUGUAGCUGGCAUUCAGCAUAAAAUCAACCAUUGAAAGGUACAAGAAGGCACGUGCUGACAGUUCCCAGUCAAAUUUAGUUAGAGGUCAAUUCUAAGCAAUAUAUCGGCAAGAAGCAGCAAGAUUUUGUCAUCAGAUACAGAUUUUACAGAAAACUAAGAGCAUGAGCUCUUACUUGUGGAAAUUGAACACAUGCAGAAAGGAAGUAGAAUUUCAAAAUGACGAUAUGUAUCUCACUACUAAGGUUGCAAAUCUUUAGCAAGUGAACUGAUGUGACUCAAACUCCAUAUUCAAGGUGUCUGCCAAGUUACAUGACUUUCCCGCUAUGUAAAAAGCCAUGAGACAUGUUCAUUAAAGGUUUGCAAACAAGCAUCGUUCUGAAGAUCAAGGCGGCGACAAAUUCUGGACGAAUGGCCUCUACGAGCCAACCCGAGCAGAAUAAUGCGAUGCAUGCAUCGCAGAUACUUUGGGGUGGUGUUCCAGAUACACCAGAGUAGUUUCUCGAGCUAUUUUCUGUGCAGAAACUCAACAUCCCGACCCACUCUUUGCUAUCCUUGAGCAUCCGUAUCUUCGUCUGAGGUCUAGUCUUUGUCACAAACAUGCCCUCUUAACUCUCUUGACUCUUGCGUACAUAUAUAACAUUGUUUUUAACUAAUUGUACCUUGCAUUCUCCUGUGGAGGCAUCAAACCCCAAUCCUGCGUUCUCGUCUUCUAAAUUUUCUCGACAAUUAGUGUUGGG
Asparagus officinalis (garden asparagus) is the source of this 744-nucleotide long non-coding RNA. RefSeq lists it as uncharacterized. NCBI's taxonomy places the organism in Eukaryota, Viridiplantae, Streptophyta, Magnoliopsida, Asparagales, Asparagaceae. The transcript is spliced from 6 exons. The record is from RefSeq and is a predicted model, not a curated record.